UUAUAUGCUAUAUGAAAUGCUUUAUUUUGUAUUAUCUGUUAUUUUCUAAAUAUUGCAUUAUCAUGAAAAACUUAUGCUUGAUCCGAUAAGGAAGUGCAAGUUCUACUUACUGGGCUAGUGUAGCUCAUAUUCUUUUUGUUUUCUUUUUGUUUGAACAGAGAAAUAAGGUUAGGAUCGGAAAAAAGAAUCCAAGUUUGAAGAUCGGCAUUGCAAGCUGAAAAAUUUGACAACAGAAGUUUAAUUUAUUUUAUAAUCAUGAAUUUGUAGUUAUU
RNAcentral lists this long non-coding RNA (272 nucleotides) under Elaeis guineensis (African oil palm). RNAcentral describes it as "long non-coding RNA (EGUI_LNC019366)". Lineage: Eukaryota; Viridiplantae; Streptophyta; Magnoliopsida; Arecales; Arecaceae. The record is from RNAcentral.